Molecule: ribosomal RNA, 76 nt
Filed under: Timarcha maroccana
Lineage: Eukaryota; Metazoa; Arthropoda; Insecta; Coleoptera; Chrysomelidae
Also listed under: 1 other name
Description: partial 5.8S ribosomal RNA
Source: RNAcentral
AUGAACAUCGACAUUUCGAACGCACAUUGCGGUCCUCGGAUACUGUUCCCGGACCACUCCUGGCUGAGGGUCGUAU